Long non-coding RNA from Sorghum bicolor (sorghum), 1088 nucleotides. RefSeq lists it as uncharacterized. NCBI's taxonomy places the organism in Eukaryota, Viridiplantae, Streptophyta, Magnoliopsida, Poales, Poaceae. The record is from RefSeq and is a predicted model, not a curated record. The transcript has 2 exons.
CCGCGGCCGCCCCUGGAGCGCGCGCGGCCACCGCCUGGAGCGCGGACAACGGGCGCGCGACGAGGCCAUCACGCGCGGGAUAGCAACGGCGACGGUGCUCUGGAGCUUGUGGCAGCGCGCGGGGUGACUACGGUGAACGGACUGCAUCACGUGGUAGAGAGGGACGGCGACAGCAAGGUCCCCAGCUGUGACCCCGGGCGGCGUUCCUCGAACUGUGACGGCAAGGUCCUCCACGAGACUCGAUCCGCAGGCACAUAGCCCUCAGCAACCUCCAUGCUAGGCGUGGUUGUGGAUCCACCACACGCCGUGGCGGGCCUCGCCGGCUCGCCCUCACCAAGUCACCAGCCACGGCAUGGCUCGCGCACCACCGACGAUGGUGGCCUGCCCAGCGCGGACAGUGCCUCCCGACGAUGGUGUUACUGGCUCGGUAUGGAUCUUUCCUCCUGUGAGAUUUCCUGUCCUGCAUUUCUGUUAUAUGCAUCUUUCUCCCUCUCUCAGUUUUUCUCUUUCCAUCCUUUUGGCCACAGAUCGGCAGAUCUGCGAGGUCGUCAAACAGCUAGCUAAGGAGGCCACGACGGUGGUAGAGCAUUCUGCGCGUCCUCAUUUUCUACGCGUCUCAUUUUCUACGCGUCCUCACUACUAUUCCCAGAUCCAGACUGGCAGCGGCUGCGGUGGCCAAUGAAGCACCAGCGGCGGAUCCUUGCGAGAAGGCUGAUAGGCUCGUGAAUGGCAUACAGAGAUGAUGCAGUCCAUGGCUGCGGUGCUAGUAUGAAGCAUCGGUGGCGGUUGGUGGCGUGUAGUUCACGGCGGCGGCGCUAGUGCGAAUCAGUGAUGGUGGUCGGUUCGAUGGAAGAUAGCAAAGGAGCAGCAUGACGCGGCCAAGGAUUUUUUGCAUUUUGUUCGUUGAAUUUAGUGUUCUUAUGCUUGUGUGCAUAAGUUUCUAUACACAGAAUGGAGCACUUCUAUGCAUUUUUGUAUUCUUAAUGCUUGUGAGCAUAAGUUUCUAUACAUUGUUGGAGCAGGUCUAUGUUGUCUCUAUGCGACAAUAAAUUCACUUUUUAUUCAUCAAAUUACUAAAUUCUAUGUAA